This 566-nucleotide long non-coding RNA is filed under the name Durio zibethinus. RNAcentral's name for it is "long non-coding RNA (DZIB_LNC000417)". The record is from RNAcentral. Lineage: Eukaryota; Viridiplantae; Streptophyta; Magnoliopsida; Malvales; Malvaceae.
UAAAUUCUUUCCUCGCUCUUACUCCUCAAAUUAAAUCUACAGGUCAAACUAUCUCCUCUUGCUCUCACUCUUUCUCGGUUUCGUUCCCCAAAAGCUACAGGUCAAACAUGCUUCUUCCACUUCUCAAACUUCCUUGCAAAGUCCUCUGUUUCCAGUGAGGGUUCAAACCCUUCUUCUUUAACAUGGCCUCUGUUUACAUGCCAAAUUUUAUCAAAUCCAUGGAAAUCCUCCCAUAGCAUGCAAGAUAAGGUUUUACAUAAUCUGAAUUUUGAUCAAUGCAGUUUUAACUAACAAAAAAAUUGAUUUUUAGGGGGGUUUAUAUAAGGUUUUCUUUAACAAAAGUUGCUGUUCUCUUUCCGGGCUGUGAUUUUGUUCAUGGUUAUAAGGUAUGCAAAGAAAAAAGACCCAUAAUUUUUCUUUUUUUUUUUUUUGUUUUGCAUGCUGUUAACAAAUUGGGCUGAUAAUGGUUUAAUAAAUAAUGAGUAGAAUUUGAGGGGUAGUACAUGAAAAAGUGUGUGGGGCUGUUAACAAAUUUGGUUGAUAAUGGUUCAAGGCCUAUUUCCCUG